RNAcentral lists this ribosomal RNA (396 nucleotides) under uncultured bacterium. RNAcentral's name for it is "bacterial SSU rRNA". It matches the Rfam family "Bacterial small subunit ribosomal RNA", at positions 335 to 725 of the family's 1533-position model. The record is from RNAcentral.
ACUCCUACGGGAGGCAGCAGUGGGGAAUAUUGCACAAUGGGGGAACCUGAUGCAGCCAUGCCGCGUGUGUGAAGAAGGCCUUCGGGUUGUAAAGCACUUUCAGUAGGGAGGAAGGUAGUGUAGUUAACACCUGCAUUAUUUGACGUUACCUACAGAAGAAGCACCGGCUAACUCCGUGCCAGCAGCCGCGGUAAUACGGAGGGUGCGAGCGUUAAUCGGAAUUACUGGGCGUAAAGCGCAUGCAGGCGGCCUGUUAAGUCAGAUGUGAAAGCCCGGGGCUUAACCUCGGAAUUGCAUUUGAAACUGGCAGGCUAGAGUCUUGUAGAGGGGGGUGAGAAUUCAGGUGUAGCGGUGAAAUGCGUAGAGAUCUGAAGGAAUACCAGUGGCGAAGGCCGG